UUUUUGACCACUGUUGGAAUAAAAUAUCAUUUAAUGCAUAUAACAGCGUCCGAGCUUCUCGUUAAAAUGGCUAUAUUGUAUAAUAAUAGCGGCAUCGAACACUGCUCUUUGAGGUGUGCUGGUGGAGAAAACAAUGUCACCAUCCUGAAGCUAGCGGCAGCACAUGGGUUGCUGAAUGGACCGGCAAAGUCAAAGCGCUCAGGCAAGUUAUUUUUAAAUUAAUUUUAAUGAAAACUAUAAAAUAUUUAUUUGAUCAUAUACCUGGUUUUAAACAUACAUGGACACCAUACAAAAUGUAUUUAUAUAUCCCUGUAUUUUCUUUGUUUUGUUUUGAAAACGAUUUAUAUAAUUAAUAAUCGGAUGCUAUCCUCAUCAGGAAGUGGUGCUGAAAAUGUUAAAUGUAAGGAUUCUUGUUUCAGGUUAUGUUUAAUGUGCAAAUGAGGUCAGUACACUCAGAUAAGACAAUGCACCAAUAUGCACUGCUUUCUUUUCCAACAGAACCUGCUCAGACGUCAUAUCUUUGAAAGACUGCAAACCAAGUUUCAGUAUGUCAUCAGUCAUCCUGACUUGGACCUUGACUAUCUAAAUUUCAUGUGCACCCAUGAAUUGAUACUUGCUGACGCAUUAGCAGACCAGCUAGAGUUGCCAUCACAUAUAGUACAUGGCUUAAGAGAACUGUGCUGUCUGGUUAGACAGAACAUAGAAAAUGAGCAAGUAAUUCCAUCAGUUGAAAUUCAGGCCGUGCAAGGUGUGAGAGGGCGACCCAAAUUUAUCAUUGAACCGGAAAAAUUACUAGCUUUGAUAGAUUCCCAGUUACCCAUUCCAUGUAUAGCAAAACUGCUGGGUGUCAGUCAGGCUACAGUAUUCCGCCGAAUGGCAGAAUUUGGAAUUUCCGUUGGAGGGUCUUACAGUGCAAUUUCUGAUCAAGAGCUUGACACUUUAGUCUGAAAUAAAAGCUGAUAUGCCUCACAUUGGCUAUAGGCUAGUCAUGGGCAGACUGAGAUCCUUAGGCCAUAGGAUGCAGUGGAACAGAGUCAAGGCAGCUAUGCACAGAGUAGAUGCUGUGGGGAUUCUUGCUCGUUUGACACAGUUAGGCUGUGUUAGGAGAACCUACUCUGUCAGGGCACCCCUUUCUCUUGUACAUGUGGACACUAACCACAAACUCAUAAGGUAAGUUUUUUUUUCAGAAUUAAGGUGUUAAUUGAAACAUCUGUAGCAAACACAUCUCAGUUCUACUUUCUCUUAAAACAGGUACAACAUAGUCAUUUUUGGGGGCAUUGAUGGCUUUUCCAGAAAGAUCCUGUACCUGGAACCCGCCAACAACAACAAGGCAUCUACUGGGUUCUCCUUCUUCUUAACAGCUUGUGAGAGGAAUGGUUUGCCCUCAAGGGUCAGAAGUGAUCAAGGUGUGGAGAAUGUCGAUAUUGCCCGUUUCAUGUUUACUGUUCGAGGAACUGACCACGGCAGUUUCAUUUCUGGAAAAAGCGUCCACAAUCAGAGAAUCGAAUGACUAUGGCGUGACGUGUGGAUCGCAGUAACUAGUACAUAUUACGAUGUACUGCACAGCCUCGAAGAAGAGGGACUACUGGACAUCUCAAACACGCUGCACAUCUUCCUGGUGCAUUAUGUGUUCCUUCCCCGUCUCCACCGUGACCUUUGCACCUUUGCUGAGGGAUGGAACCAUCACCCACUCCGCACAGAGAGAAGCAUGACCCCUCAACAGUUGUGGCAUUUGGGCCUGCUGCAGAACAGCAUAGAUGAGGCUGAGAAUGUUGAGGAUCUGCAAGAACUUGACAUAGACUGGGAGAGUGCCCUUCACUGUGAUGAGUUCCUUCAAGAAUCAGGAGUUGUUGUUCCAGAAUUUCCUACACCCCUAACUGAGCAAGAUAUAAGACAACUUCAAGAAGUUGUGGACCCUACAGGCCAAUCUGACUCCCAUUGUCAUGACAUUUACUGUCGUUGUCUUCAAAUUUUUCAGUGAACAACUAUCAUGUUGGUAAGACGAUACAUCAACUACUGUGACAUACAUUCAGAUGCAUGAAGAGUCAAAGUGAAUGUAAUUUAAUUAAACUGUGAUUAGAAUGCAUCACAAGUUAACAAUGGUCUGCCAAACAAAAAAAAGCAAUGAACAGGACCUGUGUCUCUUCUUGCUUGGCACAAAAGAAGUUGCCCUGUGGAGUGUGUUAUUGGAAAAAUAAUAUUUGGAAUUAUUUUCCUGAUCACAGCUUAUCUCUUGGAAUUCCUCCAUCUCCAGUGCAGAGUUCUGCAAUCUGAAGAAAACCAAACAGAAACACAGUCAUCUAAAAUGACUGAAAUGUAUUUUUACUCUUCCAAAAAACUGACUUCCCAUUUUUUCAUAAUCAGCUGUAAUAGAUAACAAUUAAACUUUAGUGCAUGAAAGGAAAAGGGUUUUCUGCUCUGGGAUUCACUUUUCAUGUUUUGUUGACUGACAGCAUGUAUGCAUCUACACAGCAAACUACAACUAUUUUUUGCUUUUUGAAAAUGAUACAAACUCUGUCAUACUUCAACAACGCUGGUCCUGUUUGUGUCAGUAGUGAGGAAAUAUAUCUGAGUGCAUUGGCCAAAUAGCUAAAAGUAGUUGAAAUAAAUAAGGGUGAAACAAAUAUGUUCGUCAUGCAACAGUUGUAUGCACAAAUGUGUUACACUCUUGCCCCUGCAGGAAUGCCUCUAAAAGGACAACUUUAAAGUUGUCAUAGGCUGCCAUAUGUUGUACAGGAAAGGUGAUGGUGCUCGUGCACGCUUCCACCAAUGGAUAGCAUAUGCUAUGUGCACCAUAGUCCUGCUGGCAGUCAUGGUUGAACUUAAUCUUCACUUUAAAAUGUCUCUUCUCCUACUGCAGGACGGGAACAUGACCUUGGCCUGUUACCCACUGGAGAAAUGCAUGUGGAGACAAUGAUGGACAUUCAGGGUGGUGUAUCCCAGGAUCUGCAUCAUCUAAAAAAGACAGAAUUUUGAGACAAAGUGUAAGAUUUUAAUAUUGUUUUUGAUUUGAAAAAGAUAAGUGUACAAUAAUAUUUCUUUAAAUUAAAAAAAGACAGUUAAAAAGACUGAGUUAAAAUGGCUAUGUUUCUGUAUCAACGAAAUCCAAAGCAUUGUGUCACGAUCUGUGUGUUUUGUCCUGUCUAGUGCUGUUUCCUGUUUUAUUUUGAAGUCCCUGCCCUCUUUGUGUCUCUGUUCACUUGCCCUUCCUGUUGUGGUCACUCUUGUGUCUGAUUGUCUGUCCCCGCCUGGAUUGUUUCCACCUGUGCCAAUUACCCUGUCUAUAUCUAGUCUGUGUCUUCCCUUGUCUUGUACCAGUUCGUCUUGUCAGCGUGUUCCCAACCUCAUGUCUGCCUGCCUGUUCCUUGCCUGUUUCCUGUUUCCUGUUUCCUGUUUCCUGUAUUUUUUGCCCUGCACCUGUUUGAGGUAAGUUUAUUUGGUACUUUGUUUUAUUUGAUACUUUGUUGGUUGUAUUUGUUUGAUUACUGGUUUUUAGUUUGUAUGUUUUUUUCCCCAGUAGUUCUGGUGACUUUUUGUUGUUUAAUAAAUCUUAUUUGCUACUUUAA
Acanthochromis polyacanthus (spiny chromis) is the source of this 3566-nucleotide long non-coding RNA. RefSeq lists it as uncharacterized. NCBI's taxonomy places the organism in Eukaryota, Metazoa, Chordata, Actinopteri, Pomacentridae. The record is from RefSeq and is a predicted model, not a curated record. The transcript has 5 exons.